Capsicum annuum is the source of this 1582-nucleotide long non-coding RNA. RefSeq lists it as uncharacterized. The transcript is spliced from 2 exons. The record is from RefSeq and is a predicted model, not a curated record. NCBI's taxonomy places the organism in Eukaryota, Viridiplantae, Streptophyta, Magnoliopsida, Solanales, Solanaceae.
AAACUUUAACACCCAUUUUCAUAAAAUAAUCUAUGUCAACACCUACUUUUCAAUUGCAACAGUUCUUAAAAUUUCCCCCCCACAAAUUUUCAUAUCCCGCGAAAAUAAUAUUUUUCCUCCACUAAUUUUCAAUACCCAUGAAACAAAAAAGUAGACCCCCUCCAAUACCCAGAACUCGCGAGAACCCAAAAUAGAACCCUAAUUUCUUUGCUACUUCUAUUGUGGAAAACUAAAAAUUGGAGACUUCUGCAAAUCAUCAUCGAAAAUAAAUUAAAGAAGAGUAAAGGGGUGGCAUAUGCCGACAUACAUCCGAUGUUUAUGACUCAAUUCUAUAUACCCAUUUCCCCAAAUUCUCUCCUUUGUUGAUUCCCAAUCAACCCCAACAAGUUUAAUCUUUCAUGGGGUUCUUCUAUUUUUAGUUUCUCUAUGAUUUUUACUCAAAGAUUUGAUCAUUUUCGUAGCGAUAAAUGUAGAGAUUUAUGUAGUGUUUCUUGAUUUGUAGGUUGUUAUUAUAUAUCUAGCUUAAAUCUUUAUGUGUUUACUUUCAUCCAUAAACUAUCCAUAAAAAUUGGUGACUUCUUGGCAACAAAAAGUUGUUGUUGAAGAUGAAUAGCUGAAUCUAAGAUAAAUCUUUGUGAAUUCUUUCAAUUUUUGGGGUUUCUUUGGUAUUUUUGAGAAGAUUAAGCAUGGUUGUUGAAGAAUAAUUUUGGAAAUUCUUUUAUAUUUUGGGGUUUCUCUGAAUUUUUGAUAUUUGGGGCCCAAAUUCUAGGGUUUUUCUUCAAUCCGAGAUAUUUUAAUUGAAGAAACAAGUUUUAAGGUUAGUAUAUUUGAUUUCUAAUCACACUGAUGUUGAAUUUCUAUUAUAUGAACUUUUAAAUUGGAUUUUCUUGUUUCUAGUAACAUGAGACUCAAUUUUUUGUUGGGUGUUUGAUUUUUAUUAUUUUUUUUGACCUGGAUGUUCGAUUUUCUAUUGGAUGAGUGUUCGAUGUACUGAUUUUUAUUAAUUUUUUUUGACGUUGAUGUUCAAUUUUCUAUUGGAUGAGUGUUGGAUGUUUUGCGAGCGUACAUGUUUUUUGUUGGGUAUAAUCUAUGACUAAAAUCCUGAUUUAUUUCAAUUAAGCUAGAAUAACAUUUAAUUAACCUUAUCAAUUGUGAUUUAGUUUUGCUCUUUUUCUGAUGGACCUUCAUUUUGGUCAUUUUCUUCUAUUCAAUUACAGAUGAUUUCUACGAGAAAGUCCUUAUCCGUUGCGUUGAUCUACUCAUUGUGAUGUCGAUGGACAUACAAAGAGAAAGUCUUGCUAACUAUUUAACUACUUGGUAAAGCUAAGUAUUGCAAUUUCCAUCACAAAACAAAACAGUAGUUGAUUUUUUUUGGGAGAUGCCAAACACAAGUUGCUCUUUUGUUGGGCAUUGUCAGUUUGUCCAAUUUUGAGCUGAAGAAGAAAUUGACAAGGAGGAAAUCUGUAGCUAGAUAUUUUUGUGAUAUAGUCUAUUUUUUUAUUUAGAUUUCUCUUAUCUUGAUGCAUUAUUUGAUCCUAUUGUAUUUUGGAUGUAUUAAUAAAAGGUCACCUUGAUUUUUUCA